Long non-coding RNA from Micropterus salmoides (largemouth bass), 764 nucleotides. RefSeq lists it as uncharacterized. The transcript is spliced from 3 exons. NCBI's taxonomy places the organism in Eukaryota, Metazoa, Chordata, Actinopteri, Centrarchiformes, Centrarchidae. The record is from RefSeq and is a predicted model, not a curated record.
CUGUUGGACCCAAGUCAAGAAAAUCAGUUAUUGCAGGUUUAACUGCAUUUAACCUGUGUCCUACAGGUGGAAAGGAGAGAAUGUUUCUACCACAGAGGUGUCUGAGGUUUUAGGUCUUCUUGCUUUUAUCCAGGAGGCCAGCGUCUAUGGAGUCGCCAUACCAGGAUAUGAAGGUCGAGUAGGUAUGGCUGCCAUCGUCCUAAAACGGGAUCACACAUUAAAUGGAACAAAACUCUACAAUCAUUUAGUAAAAACUCUUCCUGCAUAUGCCUGGCCGUGGUUUCUCAGAAUACAGACAUCUCUGGAUGUGACAGAGACCUUCAAGCAACAGAAGGUGAAGCUGGUCCAGGAGGGUUUUAAUCUGGAAGUCACCCAGGAUCCUCUUUAUUUCUUAGAUGUCUCUCAGAAGGACUAUAUUCCCCUGACUGUAUCUCUAUAUGAAGACAUUGUGUCUGGAAAGAUCAAUUUAUAAACAUUUUAGGAUGAGUUAAUGCGGAAGUACUGUCAUUCACAUUAUAUCGAAGGAUACGCUAAAGAUAAUCCAUGAUGUAGCUACAUUUCAAUUUGUCUGUACAUUUCAUCAUGAAACUGCAAACUUUCCCCUGCACAAAAAAAUUGUGGGAUUCAAGCCCAGGAUUGGAACAAGUUUUGUGUAAAAAUGUUAACCACAGCUAUCACACUAAUAAUAAAUGGGUACAAAAAAAAUAGGGUUGUACCAUUUUGCGGUUUGAACCCUAAUAAAAGCAGAAUCAGUAAACAUUCAA